Molecule: small nuclear RNA, 113 nt
Organism: Hemibagrus wyckioides
Lineage: Eukaryota; Metazoa; Chordata; Actinopteri; Siluriformes; Bagridae
Product: U5 spliceosomal RNA
Exons: 1
Source: RefSeq, a predicted model, not a curated record
UAGCUCUGGUUUUUCUUCAAUCACGCAUAAAUCGCUCGCCUUUUACUAAAGGUUUCCAUGGAGAGGAACAUCAAUGAGUUUGAUGUAUUUUUGUGAGCUUUGCUUUGGCAACC